RNAcentral lists this ribosomal RNA (371 nucleotides) under uncultured organism. RNAcentral's name for it is "partial 16S ribosomal RNA". It matches the Rfam family "Bacterial small subunit ribosomal RNA", at positions 527 to 896 of the family's 1533-position model. The record is from RNAcentral.
GUAGGUGGCAAGCGUUGUCCGGAAUUAUUGGGCGUAAAGCGCGCGCAGGCGGUUCUUUAAGUCUGAUGUGAAAGCCCACGGGCUCAACCGUGGAGGGUCAUUGGAAACUGGAGAACUUGAGUACAGAAGAGGAAAGCGGAAUUCCACGUGUAGCGGUGAAAUGCGUAGAGAUGUGGAGGAACACCAGUGGCGAAGGCGGCUUUCUGGUCUGUAACUGACGCUGAGGCGCGAAAGCGUGGGGAGCAAACAGGAUUAGAUACCCUGGUAGUCCACGCCGUAAACGAUGAGUGCUAAGUGUUAGGGGGUUUCCGCCCCUUAGUGCUGCAGCUAACGCAUUAAGCACUCCGCCUGGGAGUACGACCGCAAGGUUG